RNAcentral lists this ribosomal RNA (419 nucleotides) under uncultured Prevotella sp. RNAcentral describes it as "bacterial SSU rRNA". It matches the Rfam family "Bacterial small subunit ribosomal RNA", at positions 358 to 774 of the family's 1533-position model. The record is from RNAcentral. Lineage: Bacteria; Pseudomonadati; Bacteroidota; Bacteroidia; Bacteroidales; Prevotellaceae.
GGAAUAUUGGUCAAUGGGCGAGAGCCUGAACCAGCCAAGUAGCGUGCAGGAUGACGGCCCUAUGGGUUGUAAACUGCUUUUAUAUAGGGAUAAAGUGCGCCACGUGUGGCGUUUUGUAGGUACUGUAUGAAUAAGGACCGGCUAAUUCCGUGCCAGCAGCCGCGGUAAUACGGAAGGUCCGGGCGUUAUCCGGAUUUAUUGGGUUUAAAGGGAGCGCAGGCCGAUGGUUAAGCGUGACGUGAAAUGUAGCCGCUCAACGGCUGCACUGCGUCGCGAACUGGCAGUCUUGAGUGAGUACGACGUCAGCGGAAUUCGUGGUGUAGCGGUGAAAUGCUUAGAUAUCACGAAGAACUCCGAUUGCGAAGGCAGCCAACAAGGCCUUUACUGACGCUAAAGCUCGAAGGUGCGGGUAUCGAACA